Molecule: RNA transcript, 2018 nt
Organism: Gossypium raimondii (Peruvian cotton)
Lineage: Eukaryota; Viridiplantae; Streptophyta; Magnoliopsida; Malvales; Malvaceae
Gene name: probable serine/threonine-protein kinase PBL7
Exons: 6
Source: RefSeq, a predicted model, not a curated record
CAGUUUAAAUUCAAUCCAUUUAUUGUCCGAUUCGCAUGAUUUAAGUAUUGACUUGGCGUAUAAUUAGGGGUUUAGUCACUCUGAAUCGGUUUUUUGCCUGAAUAUUACCUAAAAUUACAAUUUAUUUUUAUAAAAUAGAACAUAUAUAAAUAAAUAAAACCCUGAAAUUCGAAGUUUUCUUUUUUCUUUUGUUUUUAAUUUUAUUGCUGUGUGUUUUCUUUUCAUUCUUUCUCUUUCCAAAGCAUUCUCUUUUGUUUCUGCUUGGACGGUAAAUUCUUGGGGUUCAAACACUUUUCUCCUCCUGUCCAGUGGAGAAAGUGAAGGAAAAAGAACAGAAAAAAAGAGAGGAAAGAGAAAGAAAAUAAAUCCAAAAAGUAAAUAUUAGGAGGGAAAGUUUUUUUAAGAUUCUUUAAAAAAAAAAAACUAUUAUUGAAACAUGGGUUGUUUUGGUUGCACUGGUCAUUCAACCGACGAUUCAGACUUCCCAAGAAACAAGAACAACAGGAGGAAUGCUAACAACAGCAAUAAAAACAAACCCCAUGAUCAAAGACAAGCCGGUUCCGGUUCCAGUUCCUGUUCCAGUUCCAGUUCCGUAAAAAAAGCAUCAAAAGAGAGUGUAAGGAAGGAAGAAGCAUCUAAGGAUGAGGAGUUAUUGAUGGAGGUAAGGAAUUUGAGUUUGCAUGGUGGUGAGGAUUCCAAAGUUGGAAAAGCUAUCAUGCGGGCACAGUUGUUUACAUUCGAUCAAGUCAUAGCUGCAACUGGAAACUUUAGGUCCGAUUAUUUCUUGGGGGAAGGUGGUUUCGGUAAAGUUUACAAGGGAUUCUUGGAGGACACAAACGAGGUUGUUGCUAUUAAGCAACUUGAUCAAGAUAGUCUUCAGGGCAGUAGGGAAUUCGCUGCCGAAGUAUUGACGUUAAGCACAGCUGAGCACCCGAAUCUCGUGAAAUUAAUAGGGUUUUGUGCCGAGGAUGAACAAAGACUAUUGCUUUACGAGUACAUGCCAUUAGGGUCUUUGGAAAACCAUUUGCAUGAUCUCUCACCUGACCAAAAACCACUCGAUUGGAACACGAGAAUGGAAAUAGCAGCUGGUAUGGCGAGGGGAUUAGAGUAUUUGCAUGUUAAAAUGAAGCCACCGGUCAUAUACCGUGACUUGAAGUGCUCCAAUAUUUUGCUUGGUGAGGGAUAUCAUGCCAGGCUCUCUGAUUUUGGCUUAGCCAGAGUUGGUCCUAGUGGGGAUAAAACUCAUGUUUCUACAAGGGUUAUGGGCACUUAUGGUUAUUGUGCACCGGAUUAUGCAAUGACUGGACAGUUGACGUUUAAAUCUGAUAUUUACAGCUUAGGGGUUGUCCUUUUGGAACUGAUUACGGGUAGGAAAGCAGUUGACUAUUCGAAAGAUCGUAAUGAACAAUAUCUUGUUGCUUGGGCACGACCUUUGUUUAAAGACCGAAGGAAUUUUUCGCAAAUGGUUGAUCCUCUGCUACAAGGUCAGUAUCCGAUGAAAGGUCUCUACCAAGCAUUGGCCGUUGCUGCAAUGUGCGUACAGGAACAGCCUAACAUGCGUCCAGCUAUAUCCGACGUAGUUAUGGCUCUGAAUUACCUAACCGUCCAGAAAUACAACCCUAACAACUCUGCUCAGAGCUCACGAAGGAGCAUGACAUUGUCACCGGGGAAAGGACGAGUUGCAGAUCAUGUUAAGAGUUUCUGAGCCGGAGAAUCAUGUACAUAUACAUAUAAGAUUAGAAACAAAAACGGCAAAUAUACUUAAUACUAUAUGGUGCCAAUUUAUCGAAUUUUGCAUCACAUAAGGUAACCUCAAUUUUGAAGCAACAUUGGCUGAAGCAAACAAUCUGUCUGACAGCAAAAGCUUACGCCUAAAGGGAUAUAAACCCGACACAGCUUGAUUAGAAUCCAGAAAAAUGGAGCAACUGUGUACAUUGUUGUUGUACCAACCACUUAUUCCAAAUCUACAUAUUUUUUGUCAGAAUACAUGCAUUAAAUAUAUUUAUGUGUUUGUAUCA